Molecule: long non-coding RNA, 13578 nt
Organism: Zootoca vivipara (common lizard)
Lineage: Eukaryota; Metazoa; Chordata; Lepidosauria; Squamata; Lacertidae
Source: RefSeq, a predicted model, not a curated record
GCUGCCGCGACGCCGCCGCUUUCGCGGGCUUCGUUCUGGGAGAGACGCCGAGGGAGAGGAAGGGUUCGCGCGGGCCGAGAGUCGCGCUCGCAAGUGAGGCGGUGCGUUGAGCUCGCUUAAAAGGCUCGCCGCCCCCCGGGCCCGUGUCCUGUGUUAAGCAUUAAGCAGUGAAGGCCCUUUUACAUUUUGGUCGGUGGCGGGCGGGGAGGACUUCAUUUCUAUAUCCUUCUUCCCUUAACCCUCACUUGAUGUGGCGGGGCUUAAGCCACGGAUCAUGCUACCUGAUCCGGAGCUUGAGGUGGUUACCUGUUGCUGAGAGCGGGGGGGGGUGGAUUUUGCGCAUGCUCCCCACCACCACUAAAGAAAACUCGGUCCCGCUUCUUAUUGCUUCGUGUAUUCCAGAGCACGGCUGUAAUUGACGCGGAGAGAAACCCGAGGAGGAGUACAAGUACAACCCCACUCCCCCCCCCCUUUUACUUCAGUUUCCUCUUCAGCCCAUUCAGUGUGCGGCCUUUAAAUUGCUGCCCCUAUUCAAGGACUUCCUUUGGCCUCCCGCUUCUUUGGACUAGACACAGAAAUAAGAGGGCAGAAAUAAUGCUAUGCUAUAUAACCACGUUAAUGACGCUUCGGCAAGUUGAGGUUCUUUUUCCUUCACUUCGGCUGAACAGGUCGACUCAGCAUGCACAUUCAAACGUUAAAGCCUUUGCUUGGUUCUUGCAACCCCUUGCCAGUGCCCCCGCCCCGCCCGCCCGCCACAGAUGAGGUAGUAAUCCCCACCUACGCACCAGAGAUGUGGGAGCUAAACCAGCCAAUCUACUCUUCCAAGUGGGGGUUCGCAUCCCGCCGGCUCACUUGGCCAGGAACAAGCAUCUGUUACUGGGAUGCUGCCUGUUCUCUCGCCCUCUCCAAGUGGGCAAACUGGCAAGAGCAAAGAUGCAACACUGCUGAAAGAAGGAUCACGUAUAACCACCCCAAUGCCAUCAGAAGCACAAAUCAUCAUAAAAAGGAUGCAGAGAGAGGCCCUUAGCUUCCACUGGAUGAGUCAUUCAGCUCACUGGGUGGUAUCUCAUGGUGUCAAUCCACUUCUGGGAAGAAUCCAUCAUCAGAAUUGAAAGCAGAAUUGAAAUAAUUGGCGAUACCUCCAGCUUCCUCCAGUCCAUUUCAGAUCUGUUCCAUUGGGUCUCCCAAUCCUGUGAAACUGAUUUAGGAAAUGCGCUUGUGGCUUCAGUGGAUAUGGAAAAUUGCCAAAAAUUGCUUUCCUCCCUCUGCUCUGCUAAGGCAGCGUUUCUCAACCGCUGUUCCGCGGCACACUAGCCACCACCACGGGAGGGUGGUUUUAGACAAACUUAAAGAAGCUGGCUGGAUGAGCUCAACCUGAAACUUGCUGAGCAAAGGAUUGUGCUGGCAGAGAAAUCAGCGGCUUGUGAAGCCUUAUUACAGGAGAUUGCAACCAACACAGCAAUUGGCAAGUGUUUCUUACAGUCAUAAUUAUAUAGUCAAUAUAGGGUGGCACAGAGUUAAAUUUUUUAACUUUUUUAAUGGUGGUGUGCCUCAUGAUUUUUUUCAUGGAACAAGUGUGCCUUGGCCCAAAAAAGGUUGAGAAACACUGUGCUAAGGGAUCCCUUUCUUUCAGCACAUGGACACCACUGUCUUCUCUCAGGUGUCCAGCCUGUCCCGGUCUCCAAAUACUCUUUCUGAGCUUGCUUUAAGCUCUCUGGUGCCACUAAUGCUUCUACCUUAAACCACAAAAUUUAUAAUAUUAGUGUGAGUCCCUGCUGACCUGGCACUAAAGCGUCAGUGGAGAAAUUCAGGCUGGCUGCUAUGGGCUGUGCUGUUACUUCUCUGAGAAGCUGGUGCAGAAUGAGUGCUUGGGGCCGGAUCCUGAUCUUUAGUUUGCUGACACAAAUUAGCAGCCAGCCACCUUCCACUGCCGGGGGGUAGUACAUGGAGAAUCAGGCCUCUCUGCCUGAUGGAUUCAGAUAAACAAGAAAAGAGAACACUCAAGUAGCUAUCUGUGCUUUUCCAUAAGGACUUUGAAAAUACAAAGGCUCUUUCAAGUAGGCCAGGAAAAGCAUGCAGGAGAGACAGCAGCAGCAGGAGGAGAGUGAGUGGACAGCAUUUUCCAAGUGGAAACAGACAGCUGCUGUGAAGAGCCGAUGGGUGAGACGCCCUCUGAAAUCUUAUUACGGCGGCGGCUGAGAUCGAAAAUGAGCUUGCUGGCCUCAAUUUAAUUCCCAUUUGUUACCAUGUUAAAAAAAUGAAACCACUGCACAGAUUGUCACCAUUCAGUCACAGAAGACCAGGACUGUGGAAACAGGUGAUAGGCCAUACGGAUGAAAAAAUUUAUUGACCAAGACAUUGUAAUAAAGGAAAAGAUACAGAAAUACAAGUGUUCGUGCUGAGUUAGAUUGGGGAAGCUGGGCAGGAGGAGGAUGGCGAAUCUGGUGCAAUGGAGGAUCAUUUUUGUCAGGUGGAAAAAUAACAGCCAAUAUGUUGUUGUUUGGUUUUCGUAUAAUGUCUCACAGGUUCAUUUUUCAAACUGUAUAUCACAAAUAUAACCGAGCAAUAUAGAAAACAAAAAAAUAUGAAAAAUUAAGGGUUGAAGUCCAGGAAACCAAGGGCAAACACAGAGGAAGGAAUUCAACAUUGUGCUCUUCCAAUCCUUCAGCCUGUGCAAGCAAGGCACUGUUCUGGGAUUCUCCUGACUCACCCCCCCAAGCCAAUUUUGGGGGACACGGAAAGCGUAGGGAGAAGAGUUGGGAGAAUCCACAUUGUGCAAGCAGAAGUCCUAGUGGAGGGUUUCCACUGAUGGAACUGAUUAGGUGAAUCCCUUCCAUUGGGUCUUAAGUGGUAUUUAAAAGUUAAUACUGCCACCACUUCAUGAAUUGGGAGGGCAUGCUGGGGCAUGGAUGCUAUCACCAAAAAGGCCUGUUUCCACUUUGUCACAAAGUGAGAAUUGACAAUCCAGUGGUUGUGGAAUAACAGGGUCUCCAUAGAAGAUCUUAUAAGAUCUACUUGGUCUGUACUGCAGGUAGUGAUUUGUUAUAAGGUAUCCUGGUCCCAAAUUGUUUAUGGUUCUUUAUCUUUAAACCAGUCUCUGUCUGGUUCUCUGACGAUCCUUCAAACUGAGGACUGUCAUAUGCAAUGUAGGACACCUAACCCAGCAUGUCUAAGUAAGAAGUGUUUAAGGCAGAGGGGCCUGAGAUUUGGUUGUGACACAGGGUGAUAAUUUUUCACAUGCUUUCUCUGACAGGUAAUGGUGUUAUUUCUUAUGUUCUUAUGACCCAACUGUUGAAAAACCUAACACCAACUUCAAAGCAAAGAGUCAGGAGCAUGUUCUAAGUGCACUCCCAAUUUUUUCACCUCUUCCUUUUCACUCCAGGAUCAAGAUGGCCAGCUGACAAGCACUGGCAGGGGUGCCAACUUGAAUAAAAUCUGGGGGGGGGGUGUCCAGGUAAGCCCUGCCCUGCAUAAUCAAUCACAUGGCACUGUACAUGCAGACCAUUGGAAUGGCAAUGCCCAUCAACCUUGGGGGGGGGGCGGCGGUCUCCUCAAAUAUAUUAUUGGGUGGGGGCCGAAAGGGCCUCAGCUGCUAGGGGUUGGUUCCUAUGGGUCACUUUCAGCAGGAAUCUGCUGCACUCAGUGGCGUAGCAUGGGUUGCCGGCUCCUGCGGUGGGCAAGCUACUGACACCGCCAGAGUUCCAUGUGCACCAGCAUUCCAUGUGCACCAGAAAACUUGAUCUUGCAGAGGCAGCAGGAACAGAAGCAGCAGUAUGUGCAGAAGCUGGACAGCAGGGAGUGGAAGCUGGGGAAAGGGCAAAAGAACUGCUUAGCUUCCCACCAGCUCCACCCCCACGUUCUACAUUACAGCAACCUGACAACAAAUACAGUACAAAUAUUAGCUCCUCUGCACAGCCCUGACAAAACAAGUUCAUUGGCUGUGCUCCCAAGAUAGCAUUUUUUAUGAGAUGGGUAUUCAAAAAAAUCUUCUGAGAAAUACUGCAAUAAAUGCCCGUUAUCUCAGGAAGAGGCAAACAGCAUCUACUUCCGUCUUUAAAGAACACUUUGUGCCAUUUGUACUUUCUUUUCUUUUCUUUUUUUUAAGUACUGGCUUUGCUUUUCAAACCUCUCACUAUAUUGCUAUUGACCCAAUAGAGGGAUUCUCCAUGCCACCCUUUGAUGGGCUUGUGGGCAUCCUUGUACCAUCCUGUACUCUCUUAUUCCAGUAUCACUCAGUCUUUCUCACCAGACUUCAGUUCCUUCGGUUACACUCUUUGGAGCCUGGCUUAUUAUGUCUCAUUGGUUGGGCUCUGAUGUUCUCUACCUGGGGAGAUAGGGUGGGCAGGUCAGUUCAUCUGGAUGGAAAGUUGUGGUUUGUUUGUUUGUUUGUUUGUUUGUUUUAAAAAAUGAGAAUCAAAUACCUUCCCUUUUCAAAUGUAUCUAUUUAUGUGUUUUUCAAGUGCUUAUACCACCAAUAUGCAGCAAUGCACUUGAAGCAAUUCUCACAUUUUCUUAAUUUUUGCAGGUGUAACCUGGUGCAGGAGAAUAAGGACUGUCACAGACUGAGGAACCUGUGCCCCCCCCCAAUGUUGUUGGACUCCAAUUCCCAUCAUCCUCAACCAACAUAAUGGGAAGGAUGGUGGGAGUUGUAAUUCAGCAACAUCAGGGGGGCACAGGUUCUCUUUGACUACCAUAGCCCAUUAACUGCCUAUUUUUAUUGGAAAGUGAAGAUUCACAAUUGCCAUCACAACCUCUCAUCUGAGGGAAUUCUUCAUCAUCUGUUUCUCUGCUGGGUCCUGGUUUUGUUGAGAGAUUAUGGGUGAUGGUGAUCAGUUUUAAAAAAGCAGCGAUUAAUCAGGGAAUAAUGACAGUGUGAGUUAAUCAAUCAUGGAGCUAUUUAGACUUUGAUGGCUGUAUGUUGCCAUCGCAAGGAACAAAUAGACAGUGUCAGUAUGAAUAGUUUGGAUUGCAGCACAAGAGUUGGAGUGGGCUUCCUAUAUCAGCCAGGCAAUAACAAGUAUGCAUGCUUCCUAGCUGCUGGUGAAGAGUAGCAGCAUUUUAACAGAGGACUUCCUUUGUCCCUGAUUUCUCUAUCAUUCAACUCAUCCAUCAAAUAUGGAGUUUCUUGUAGUAAGCACUGAGUCAGAUGCAUGGGGCCCCAACAGCUGCAGGAUGAUAGGCUCACACAAGACAUUGCUAAAAACAGAUGAAUUUUCACAAGAACUGGAAAAUGUUAACUUAUGGGGCAAAAUAAAGCUCUUGCCUAGCUUUUUUUAGUUUGGAGUUUAUAUUUACAGUUAUAUUUUUAUUUUCUCAAGAAAACACACUGUCACUUGCAGAAAUGCUAGAUUUGUGCUGCUGUGCAUGUUUCCCUCGCUUCUUGCUAAAAAGAUCAAGAAGUGGAGUCAAAAGUAGAGGAAGCCCCAGAUCUGAACCUUCAUAUCUCCAUCUAACAUCUCCACAGCUGGGAAAUGCUACUGGCUGGGAAAACCUGAAGAUCUGAACUAUGGGGGCAGUUCAGUAGUACUGAGUUAGAAGAACCAUUGAUUGGACUCCAUAUGAAAUGGCUCCUCAUGAUCUAUGAUGGAAAUCUUCAGCAUUUUCAGACCUAACUGGACCCAUGAAUUUAAAGGACAUGGCUUAUCCCAAAGAAUCCUGGGAACUGGGAGUUGUAGCUCUGUGGGAGGGGAAACUUCAGUUCCCAUGAUCUUUUGGGGAGAAGCCAUGCAUUUAAAUCUAUGGUGUGUGACCUCAGUGGUAAGUGCUGUUUUACAGUGGAGCAGACUGUGCAAGGAAGGUGGCACACUCCUCUUUUCUGGAGGUGUUUAAAAUGAGAUUUGGUUGUCCUCUGUCAAUGAUGCUUUAAUUGCAUCCUGCAUUGAACUAGGGGUUGGUCUACAAUGAACUUCACAGUUUCUCUCUGUAAUUCUGUAGAUAAUUUCUUUGGAGGCUUUGUGGAUCCAGUGGCAUCAAUCACAUUAGAAACCCACAGAGGUGGAGGGAGCCAAGCACUUAGUCAUGUGUCUGGUCCAGUCACCAAAAUCUGAUGUCCUGUGUACCAUCAACAUGAUGCAUUAAAUGGGGCACAACUCUUCCCUGACCGCUUAGUUUUGCUUUUGUCAAAUUUCAUGGGGAUCUGAGCCAAGCAAUUUGCAGUUGAAGGGUUACUGUUUCAGUCAUUAAAAAUAAAUAUUAAAUGACCUAGGUUUUUUUUUUUAUUCUCUUAAAGUCCCAAGAAAGGGAAACAGUAAGUGGAAUCGACAAAUAGAUUUUGGAUGCUUUGAUGGAGUGGCAGGAUUUUUAAAAAGCAAAAAAACUGAAAGCAGGAAGUAAGGCAGAGGCUUCGUCUGCAUUGUUACAAUGCUCUUCUCCUUUUGCACAAUUCAAACAAGAGCUCAGUCUGCUUGCAGUGUAAACAAGGCAGGAGAACCAUGCCCUUUGUAAGACCCUGUGAGCCUUAUUCAUAGGGUUUGGUAAAGUUUAUACCCUGACCUAUGCAGAGUGUAGAAACCAGACUCUCACUACCACCAGGAGGAAGUUACAAAAAUCACUUCCAUGGAAGAACGUCUUUUCCUGAGGAGUUCUGGGAAAGUGCAUGGGGAGAUUUGUUGGCAAUUGUUCAAAUUGUGCUAACAAGGAAUCAGCAUUCCUGGGACAAAAUCCUAAUGCAUAGGAGUUGAGAUAGCCCUGCCACAGGGGAAAUGAUGCUGCUGCAGUGAGGGUCAUGGCAAUGUAUAGCCUCUCUUCUUCAAGCAGUCAGGGCAGAUGUGCUCCCUAGUGCUGGAGGAGGGGAGCACACAGAAUCUGUGUUAAACUGCUUAGAGGUCUUCUGUUGAGUAAGUGGUAUAUAAAUCUUGUUGAAUAAAACAAAGGGUUGUGGUGUUGCUGUUGUUUUUUAAAAAGAACAUUAACUAAAUGUCAGGGUGUUGCUCCUGGGAAAGGUAGCUUUCCUGGUAUUGAUCCAUAUUUUGUUUUUAAUUAAUUUUGGCAUAAUGCAAGUCCAGGCCCGCCUACCAAGCUGACUAACUUCUUAAGACAUUCAUUGACAGCUUGAAGCAAUCAGCGACAGGAAAUGGGCUGUCCCAUUGGUUUGGAAAGAGAAGGGCAUUUCCAAAUGUUGACACACUCUUCCUCAUUUUUACAAACCUUAGAAGUCCCAUAGCUGAUUCACAGAUUCCCAAGUUCCUGAUUUACAUGUUUCGCUGCAUGAUGGCAAUUUCAUCCCAAGCACAAAUUCAUGUGACUGCCAUUUGCCACCAAACACCAGCCUAGCUGCCUAAAGCUUGAUCGAGGUGUUCUUCUCCCUCCCUCCCUCCCUCCCUCUCUGCAUCUGGCUCUUCUCUAAAAGAGGAAAGCAAUGAGUAAUGUGUCUGCUAGGAACAAAAUUUCCCAGGAAAAGUGAAGCAUGCAGAUGUUGCAUUGCCUGAAGGUGCAAAAAGCAAUUUACUUAGCAUCCAUAGUGCUCAAAACUGGUUCUUCAAGUCCAGAUGCAAAGAAUGCAAAUGAGAGAGAGAGAGAGAGAGAAGAGAAGAGAAGAGAAGAGAAGAGAAGAGAAUUGGGACAAUGUGGAAUAUGCUGAAGGAGGGUCACAGACCCACAUCAUUGCUGCUUUUGUUGCUCUCAUUGCAAAACUGGUUUGUUUGGUUCAUGUGAAAUCAGUGGUCUAUGCUUAGCCAUAUAGUAAAGUAAAGCUGCAUCACACACUAUAGUUCCUGAUAAGGCAGGGACAAGGAACCUGGCAUCCUCUAGCUGGGGCUGGACUACAACUCCCACCGUCCUUACCAUAGACCACAGUGACUAGGGCUGAUGGAAGCUGGGGUUCAACAACAUCUAGAGGGCUUCAGGUACCCCACUCUCUCCAGCUGUAGGGAGAUGACCUUGGAUGGUUCAGAUUCUUGGUUUUGUAGGAGCCUGCUCUUUUACUAAGUUAACACUGUUCUGUUCCAUUUGGAAUAGUUUUGUGUUCUUGAAAUUGUAAUGAUUUUAUCUGUUUUUAUAAUUGCAUUUUCUACUGCUGUAGCUUGCCUUGGGACCUUGUGGUGAAGGAUGAGUAAGGUAUCUUAUCAGUAAAUAAAUAGUCCCAUGUUCUGCCUCCAGUGUCAGAAGGCAAUUAGGCUUCUGAAUGCCAGUUGCUGGGAACUGCAAGUGGGGAGAGCAAUACUCAGGUCCUGCUUGCAAAUUUCCCACAGGCACCUGGUUGGCCCCAGUGAGAAUAGGAUAUGCUAGACUAGAUGAGCCACUGGUCUGAUCCAGGAGGGACCUUCUUGUGUUCUUGUCAUAUUAUGAUAAAAUAGACCUUUCUCUGAUGGCUGUGUACAUGAGCUUUUAUAUUGCCCGCCCACUACAUGCAGAACGGGAAAUGUACAGGCUAAAUACCAUGUUUAUUGUGGGAAGCAUCUCUUAGAUGCAUGCUUAGAGUUUUGAAGGGGACUUAACAGCUAAAUAGAACCGCCAUGUUCCAAGGCACAAUGAUCUUGAAUGCCAGAUGCUAAAGACAAACUAAUGGGUUGUUCCCUUCAUGUCCUAUAUGUAGUCACUCCACCAGCAUCUAACUGGCCAUUGCUAAAAUAAGAAGGCAGGAAAAGAUGUAACUUUGUUCUGAUCCAGCAAGGCACUCCUUAUGUUCUCAUGUAGCAAAAGAAGAAAAGCAGCUGCAAUUUUCUUAAGUCUUCCAAUGCAGCCCAUAGCAGACAUAAGGCAAGCUCAAGAGCAGAGCCCAUCAUGCCUCCCUACUGCAAGGAAUAUAGCUUGUUCCAUUGAGAUGGUUUGCAAGCACAUUACUUGUCAUCAUAAAGCACAAUGUUAGACCAGAGCUCACCAUUUUGUUAGGAAAUGGCUUGCAGAAUUUUCUACUGGCUUGCACAGAUAACGGUUUGUAGUGCAGAGAUGCUACUGUGGUUCUUACGGGGUCAUCAGUGAGAGGCAACCACAUGGCUAUCUAUUUUUCAAGCAUGAAAUGGUUUUGAAUAAAAUGCUGGUGCUUUUUGAAAGCAAGCAAAGAAAACUGUCCUGUAAAAUCCAUAGUGUCUGCCACGUCCCCUCUGCCACUGCCAAUUCCUUUUAAGAGCCAUGACAUAAUGGAACAGCUAUAGUGAAAGGGUGAGUCUGGCCAUCUUUCUCCUCUUCUUGCACAGUCCUCUCAGAUAUUCUAAGAGUUGGCAAGUCUCCAUCGUAACUCCACCCUUUGCAUCGGCAUAUACCUCAAACAGCAGGGCGGUUUGGAAAGCUCACUGUGGAUCUAUGGGACUGAGCACCCUCCCCCCCCCCCAGUCACUGACCUCAAUUUCAUUGCACAGUAGACCUAUGGAGCUGAGGCAACACAUACAGCCAGCAUAAGGGGAAAGGGUGCCGUCCCAUGCCCAGCGACACAAAGCUGAACAUCAAGGCUUGCAAACCUUGAAGAUCAGAUAUAUUAUUUUCCUUUAAUGGUUCGUGGAUAUGCUGACUUAGUCCCCAACUCAUAAUCAUUUCCCCUUGUGGGCGAACUUCCUGACCUUUUCCUAUUGUUUUCCAUAAUUCAACUGGAGCUGUAGCAAUCACUCAUCUUACUCUUGAACUGAGGGUGUGUGUGUUGGGUUGACUAUUGUCUGCCUCCGCUGUGCUGCUCUUCAGCUCUGCCCCCAGCUCUCCUGUGGGUAUAAGACAGUCCAAGCCCCAGUUGCCUUUUUAAGCCAUGCAAAGAUUGCUAAAAGGCAGUACAAAUAAGACUUUCACCUUUUCAAUAAUCUCCCCUUGUUUUGGAACUAUUUCCACAUGGUUGUCACUGUUGUUCCCACUGCAAUCCUACACCUAUUUAUGGCUGGGGUGCAUAGCUGCCAAGAUUUCCCUUUUCUCGCGAGGAAGCCUAUUCAGCACAAGAGCAAAACCCCUUUAAAAAAGGGAUAACUUGGCAGCUAUGCUGGGGUGACAGAUGUCAUCAUCCAGCAACAUCUGGAGGACCACAGGUUUUCCACCCCUGGUGCAAGCCCUGCUGAACUUCAUGGAAUAAACGUUCUACAAGAUAUGCUGUACAUAAGGACAGCUUCUCAAACGUAAUAUGUGCAUUACACUGAGGGAUAAACUUCCCCAUGUGCAUCCUCUUGAUAUAUUUUUUUUUUGGGGGGGGGGAGGUAAAUACAUCAACUGCUCACUGUCCUACAGUCACCCAUGUGCACCAUCCAGAGGAGAGCAUACACACAAGUGGGAAGUAAGGGUAAGGGAGAUGGGUAUGCCUUGGAGCAGAAACAUUCUUAAUGCAUUUACUCUGACUAGGAAAAACUCUGUCUAGGAGAAAGGUGAGAAACGUGAGCUGAGCAGCACAGGAACUUCGGGUUGGAUUACAUGAUCUGUCAGAAGAAUUGGAUGUCCAGGGAUUGGAUUUCGUUUCAUUGCCGACUGCAGGCUUUUCAGAGACAUAGCCGACAAUUCAGUUCCAGGGAUGGGGAAGAAAUUUGCUUAGGUUCACAUGGUAAUGUGGCCCUGCCUAAUUUGAAUUACCCCUAAACAAUUCAGGAACCAAAACUCAGCUCUCCUGCGAAAUUUGCAAUUCUUUGAAUUUCAUGAUGCUGUUCUCUAGCCCCCCCCCCAAGAAAAGUGUACAAAAAGUGUAUAUUAGAAUAAAAUGUGCAUAUCAGUGAUGUGAAAACAAUAGACCAAAAUGCAUUAUAUUAGGGGAAAUUGCAUAAAAAUGUAUAGUUAGGACAACAUUGUAUACACAAAUGUGUAUUAGGAGAAAUUCAUACUAAAAUACUGAUGAAUUUUUGCAAGGGCUUUUGUUUAAAAUUGCAAAAUGGAUACAGAAAUGUCCAGAACUGAAGUUAAGACUGGACAAACAAGCCACCAAGAAAAUCUGAUAUUGACAAAUUCAUCCAUGACUAUUCAUUUCGUAGGGUUGCCAUAUGUCCUCUUUUUCCAGGACACACCCUCUUUUCCAUGGGUAGAGCCAUCAUAGCGAUCCAUAGUUAAAAAUAGAAGUCAAAAAAUGUGUCCUCAUUUUUGUUCUUCAAAAUAUGGCAACUCUAGCUGUGCUGAGGAAAAGCACAUGGUACAACUUCCCUCUUGGGACUGGUACCAUGUCAGAAUACAGGUGAGGGAUCACAUGUUUCAAUACUCACUCAAGUUGUUUUUUAUUUUUUUUAAAAACAAGUUUCUGCCAUAGAAAACAAGCAAAUUAUUAAGAAAAGUUUCUUAGACUUCUUACUGAGAUGCCUAAGGUUUUGUUUGCACUUCAUGGGAAGCCCGACCAUGGCUUUCCAGCGCUGCAUGUAUGUGCUGGCUCUCAGAGAGGAGUUCUUCUCUGCCUUGCUCCUCCUCACUUAAGCUAGCGCAAUGCAGCAUGGCAGCAUGGCUUAGUGUGUCAUCCAAGCCCAGGGUCAUACUUAAGGUCUCUCCUCCUUAAUGAUGAUCUGUAAUCAUACUGUAGGUCAAACACAUAGUGGUUAAGGAGGAGUGACCACAUGAAUUUUUGCAUCCAGUUGUAACAUUUGUUACAGUUGUUCUCCCACAGACAGCAAAGCUUAUGUCUGGAAUUGUGUGCAACAGCUGGUUGGAAUAAGUCACAUGACUGAAAGCUUCUCCAUCCCUUCCCCCACCCCCAAGAACCCCUUUGUCCUGCAGAUGGAAAACUCUCGUAUCAAGGAGAAGUGCUCUAGGUUAUUUUUUCCCCUGGACUGUUUAUUACUGUGUGCAGGAAUUUUUAUAUUUAACCAGGAUUAUCCUCAUCUGUACUGAGAAAAAGAAGCUCAUGGCCAAGCAAGGACUUGAACCGAGGUCUUAUCGAUUUAAACCCAACACUCUAACUACUGCAUGUUCCGUGUAACUGUAAUUAACAGGGCAGUGGGAGGGGAGAAAAGAGGGUGGUGAUACAUAAUAUUUUCCCUGCACACCAUUUCUUCAGUACAAAUGACAUAGCUUUCCUGCUGUUUGAACCAGACGGAAGCAGAGAAAUGACGGGAGGAAAGGAUUAAGCACCCCUGCCCUUUGCCAUUUCUCGGUUUAAAAUUCCUCAUCCCAGCCAGCUUCUUUUCUUUUAAAAUGUUCCAUACCUUUAUACAAACAACACGUAGUUAAUCCCUACACCAAAGAAUAUACAAUUUCUCCGGAGGAACUGGUGUUGCUUGGCCCAUUCGAUCAGAUGCAAAUGGAAGCUUCCUGUCUUAUGUGUCUUCCUGGAGACAGCUUGAUCAGGAGGUAGGACUUGCCAGCAGCUUCUGCCUAGGCAAGUGUGUUCAAUUAUGCAGCACUAACAGCUUUGUCGUUCCAGCCUGCCCAAAAUCCUGGUGGACUCAAUCGUCCUCCUCUUUUUAUAUUAUUAUUAACUGUUUAUUGGUUUAUAAUAUGAUACACAGUCUCUGUGGUGCCUUGGUGCAUAAUGGAGAGUGGGUGGUGGAAGAGGGAGAUCUUCCUUUUCGAUCAUUUGUUCAAACAAAGCAGUACUUAAUGGUGGACUUUUAGCCUAUAACCAAAUCAAAGGUUUACUGUUACAAAGAGCUGGAAAAACACAAAGCCACUCCCUGAGAGCAAAGGGUAGCAUCGUAUAUACUAAAAGCAACCUCAGUGUUCCAAGCGACACUCCAUACAUAGUCAAAAUGGCCCCAAGGCUUCUCAGGACAAGUAUCUGAGAGGGAACCAUGGAAAGCCCAAAUAACAGGCCAUUGAAGAGUGAGCCUGCUCAGUGGUGACAGAAUGCUUACUGACUGCAGGGGUGGGAGUGGGGAAGACAGAUGCUAAGGGGAACUGAAUGGAGCAUCCUGAACAGGAAGAUUCCACAUUGCAACUGCAAUUCUAUCCCAGCAUUUCAUCUGUGGUGGUGCGGCCUCUGCCAUUUGUGCAGGUACUAUGGUCAAUGCCAUCCUUUAUGCAGAAAUAUUGGAGGGGCCCACAUAGGUUGAAAAACUUUGGCACCAUAUGAGCUCAGAAGACAGGGCACAGACAAGUCAUUUCUAUGGCAGCUAGGGAAAGAUCACUGAAAUUACACUACAUCCACGGAGCGGAUAGGGAAUGCAUUAGGUCAGCAGUUCCCACCUGGUGAACUACAACUCCCUGGGGAGCCAUGGGUGGGGGACGCCACAGGCAGCACUGGCCUCCAUCAUUCCCCUCUCUCUCCCUUGCUCCUCUUAACAGAUAGAUCUAGCCCUCCAAGUCCUCUGAAUGGCGUAACUAAACCUCCCAUGAUAUCCCCGCUGCUUGGCUACAUUGCAUUCUGCAGCGAGCAUUUUUCUUCCCUGCCUCCUUUCCUUUCCUCCCAAUCCUUUUCCUCCUGAUUGGCUGUGGUGCACUUGGCUGUAGAAACAGACAGACAGACAGACAGAUCCCUAAAAUGAACCAGACUCCAUGUGGAAAUGGCACGUGUUCAUUGAUCGUCCUUCCCAGCAAGGCUUCUGGGGGACUGAGACGUGUAAGGCUUGAUUGUGGGGGGAGGGGGCUGAGCACAGAGGAAGAAGGUAGGGGGAGCCUUUUCCUGCUGCCUGAUUCCUGCCCACCCCCAACCUCUAUCUCUUUCUACCUGCUGGAAAAAGAAGGAGACUCUUUUGUUCAGUUUGGGAGAUUAUAAAAGAUAACGUGGGUGGGUUGAAGGGUAAAGUUGAGAGGAAAGCAGAG